CACGUAGGGUGCGAGCGUUGUCCGGAAUUAUUGGGCGUAAAGAGCUCGUAGGCGGUGUGUCGCGUCGGCCGUGAAAACCUGCAGCUUAACUGUGGGCGUGCGGUCGAUACGGGCAUCACUGGAGUUAGGCAGGGGAGACUGGAAUUCCUGGUGUAGCGGUGAAAUGCGCAGAUAUCAGGAGGAACACCGGUGGCGAAGGCGGGUCUCUGGGCCGAUACUGACGCUGAGGAGCGAAAGCGUGGGGAGCAAACAGG
RNAcentral lists this ribosomal RNA (254 nucleotides) under uncultured bacterium. Its description in RNAcentral is "partial 16S ribosomal RNA". It matches the Rfam family "Bacterial small subunit ribosomal RNA", at positions 524 to 776 of the family's 1533-position model. The record is from RNAcentral.